GGUGUGGAAGCUUUUUAAAGUAUUAAAUUCUUAAUUUAAAAGAAGGGAAGUAGAAAAUAAGUAAUAUUCCCCCAUAUUA
RNAcentral lists this transfer RNA (79 nucleotides) under Diversibipalium multilineatum. RNAcentral describes it as "tRNA-Lys". The record is from RNAcentral. Lineage: Eukaryota; Metazoa; Platyhelminthes; Tricladida; Geoplanidae.